GUGGGGAAUUUUGGACAAUGGGCGCAAGCCUGAUCCAGCAAUGCCGCGUGCAGGAAGAAGGCCUUCGGGUUGUAAACUGCUUUUGUACGGAACGAAACGGUCCUGGCUAAUAUCCGGGGCUAAUGACGGUACCGUAAGAAUAAGCACCGGCUAACUACGUGCCAGCAGCCGCGGUAAUACGUAGGGUGCGAGCGUUAAUCGGAAUUACUGGGCGUAAAGCGUGCGCAGGCGGUGCUGUAAGACAGGCGUGAAAUCCCCGGGCGUAACCUGGGAAUUGUGCUUGUGACUGCAGUGCUGGAGUGCGGCAGAGGGGGAUGGAAUUCCGCGUGUAGCAGUGAAAUGCGUAGAUAUGCGGAGGAACACCGAUGGCGAAGGCAAUCCCCUGGGCCUGCACUGACGCUCAUGCACGAAAGCGUGGGGAGCAAACAGGAUUAGAAACCCCUGUAGUCC
This 450-nucleotide ribosomal RNA is filed under the name uncultured bacterium. Its description in RNAcentral is "partial 16S ribosomal RNA". It matches the Rfam family "Bacterial small subunit ribosomal RNA", at positions 354 to 796 of the family's 1533-position model. The record is from RNAcentral.